This 494-nucleotide ribosomal RNA is filed under the name uncultured bacterium. Its description in RNAcentral is "partial 16S ribosomal RNA". It matches the Rfam family "Bacterial small subunit ribosomal RNA", at positions 29 to 507 of the family's 1533-position model. The record is from RNAcentral.
ACGAACGCUGGCGGCGUGCCUAAUACAUGCAAGUAGAACGCUGAAGGAGGAGCUUGCUUCUCUGGAUGAGUUGCGAACGGGUGAGUAACGCGUAGGUAACCUGCCUGGUAGCGGGGGAUAACUAUUGGAAACGAUAGCUAAUACCGCAUAAUAGCAGUUGUUGCAUGACAACUGUUUGAAAGGUGCAAUUGCACCACUACCAGAUGGACCUGCGUUGUAUUAGCUAGUUGGUGGGGUAACGGCUCACCAAGGCGACGAUACAUAGCCGACCUGAGAGGGUGAUCGGCCACACUGGGACUGAGACACGGCCCAGACUCCUACGGGAGGCAGCAGUAGGGAAUCUUCGGCAAUGGACGGAAGGCUGACCGAGCAACGCCGCGUGAGUGAAGAAGGUUUUCGGAUCGUAAAGCUCGGUUGUAAGAGAAGAACGAGUGUGAGAGUGGAAAGUUCACACUGUGACGGUAUCUUACCAGAAAGGGACGGCUAACUACGUG